GGGAUAUGAGGAGUGGUCAAAACUCGCUAUGCGAGAAGAGUGCCCGCCCCGUUUUUUGUUACGACAGAAGGGGCAUUCUAUUAUUUACCUAUCUGAUCCC
This is a small nucleolar RNA of Dendrobium catenatum, 100 nucleotides long. RefSeq annotates it as small nucleolar RNA Z279/snoR105/snoR108. The record is from RefSeq and is a predicted model, not a curated record. NCBI's taxonomy places the organism in Eukaryota, Viridiplantae, Streptophyta, Magnoliopsida, Asparagales, Orchidaceae. The transcript has a single exon.